The sequence is a ribosomal RNA, 845 nucleotides long. The stretch from base 572 to 845 matches the Rfam family "Archaeal large subunit ribosomal RNA", at positions 2156 to 2708 of the family's 2987-position model.
UCGCGAAAUGGUUGGAGCUAAUUAUGUAUAGUUUAUAGACUAAACACAGUGUGUAGCAUAAUACUGGAAAAAGAUAUAAUUAGGUGUGACAGGCUUUUCAAAGACCAAGAUAUCUUGAUAGCGCUUAAACGUAUGUAGUACGUCAGACAAAUGAAAAGUGUUGAGGCUUUUUAUAAUUUCAAAAUUGAUUUCAUGGGUUUAUUGGUUUAAUCAUCUUUUAUUUAAGAUAAUAGUAUUAAUUUUCCUUUAUUUGACAUAAAUACGUGCUUCUAUAAAUAAUUAAGGUGUAUAGUAAUAAUGUUUCCAUAAGUAUUAAAUUAAGACGUUUAUAAUGAACUCGGCAAUAAAUAUUCUCAACUGUUUAUCAAAAACAUAGCUGUAUGGGAUUAUAUAUAUAGUUAUUUCUGCUCAAUGUAAUAUAAAUGGCCGCAGUACUCUGACUGUGCAAAGGUAGCAUAAUCAAUUGGCUUAUAAUUGAAGUCUAGUAUGAAUGAAAAUAUGGGGAUAGACUAUAUUAAAGACGUUCUUUUAAAAUUACUGAAUAAGUGAAAAGACUUAUACUUAAAUAAUAGACGAGAAGACCCUAGAAAUUUUGAGCAACCAAUAAUAAUAUGUAGGUUUUUGUUGGGGCGACACAGUAGCAUAACUAACCUACUAAGAUUAAUAUGAUUAUUAUAUUAGGAAUAAUUAAAUUACUCUAGGGAUAACAGCAUAAUAUUCAAAAGUUUGUGACCUCGAUGUUGGACUAGGAUACUACCACCCAGAAGGUUUUUAGUAAGGCUCUGUUCGAGCAAUUUAUUCCUACAUGAUCUGAGUUCAGACCGGCGUAAGCCAGGUCAGUUUCU